This 303-nucleotide ribosomal RNA is filed under the name uncultured bacterium. Its description in RNAcentral is "partial 16S ribosomal RNA". It matches the Rfam family "Bacterial small subunit ribosomal RNA", at positions 507 to 807 of the family's 1533-position model. The record is from RNAcentral.
AGCAGUCGCCACGGUAAAACGUAGGUGGCAAGCGUUGUCCGGAAUUAUUGGGCGUAAAGGGCUCGCAGGCGGUUUCUUAAGUCUGAUGUGAAAGCCCCCGGCUCAACCGGGGAGGGUCAUUGGAAACUGGGAAACUUGAGUGCAGAAGAGGAGAGUGGAAUUCCACGUGUAGCGGUGAAAUGCGUAGAGAUGCGGAGGAACACCAGUGGCGAAGGCGACUCUCUGGUCUGUAACUGACGCUGAGGAGCGAAAGCGUGGGGAGCGAACAGGAUUAGAUACCCGCGUAGUCCCUGUCUCUUAUAC